RNAcentral lists this ribosomal RNA (468 nucleotides) under uncultured bacterium. RNAcentral's name for it is "partial 16S ribosomal RNA". It matches the Rfam family "Bacterial small subunit ribosomal RNA", at positions 29 to 507 of the family's 1533-position model. The record is from RNAcentral.
ACGAACGCUGGCGGCGUGCUUCACACAUGCAAGUCGAACGAUGAAGCCUUAGCUUGCUUUGGUGGGUUAGUGGCGAACGGGUGAGUAACACGUGAGCAACGUGCCCAGGACUCUGGAAUAACCGCGGGAAACCGUGGCUAAUACCGGAUAGGUGCCGAGGCCGCAUGGUCUUCGGUUGGAAAGUUUUUGCGGUUCUGGAUCGGCUCACGGCCUAUCAGCUUGUUGGUGGGGUAAUGGCCUACCAAGGCGACGACGGGUAGCCGGCCUGAGAGGGUGACCGGCCACACUGGGACUGAGACACGGCCCAGACUCCUACGGGAGGCAGCAGUGGGGAAUAUUGCACAAUGGGCGCAAGCCUGAUGCAGCAACGCCGCGUGGGGGAUGACGGCCUUCGGGUUGUAAACCUCUUUUAGUAGGGAAGAAGCGCAAGUGACGGUACCUGCAGAAAAAGCACCGGCUAACUACGUG